This 703-nucleotide unclassified non-coding RNA is filed under the name Caenorhabditis elegans. RNAcentral describes it as "Non-coding transcript of protein-coding gene srsx-16". The record is from RNAcentral. Lineage: Eukaryota; Metazoa; Nematoda; Chromadorea; Rhabditida; Rhabditidae.
AUGACUUCAGAAGACAAUUAUAAAAUGCAUCGAAUUAUUAUUUAUUCAAUUGUUUUUAUUUUUGAAAUUCUCGGAUUGUUUGGAAAUAUCAAUUUGAUUGCCGUGAUUUUAAGAAAUAAAGUAUUGAGGUCCAAUUUUGGUCUCAUUAUGCUCUGCCUUGCAUUUUUCCACACUGUCUGUUUAUUUUUUGAGCUAAUCAAUAUGGGAUUUGGAAUUCUUGAUGUGUAAUCCUCCCUCUUCAAUGGUUCCGUCAGUUCGACAACGUUGGUACGAGAUUAUGCUUAUAUUUUCAUUCCUUACAGUUAUUCUCUAUUCGGGUGCAUUUGGUUUAUUAUCGGUGAAGAUGCGUCGAAACUCAUCAGACAUCCGUCUAAUCGAGAAGAAAGCUCUUCGAACAUUAAAAGUUCUAAUUGUAAUCUUCCUUUUUACUCGAUUCUUCUCAACUGGCCUUGCAACAUUAGUAACAAGUCUCGGAAUAGACCCGGAAUAUUCUGCACUUGUUCAUAAUUAUAAUGUGAUUCCAGCAAUGGCUGCAUAUUCACAAAAUACGUAUGUAUGUUUCUUCCGUAGUGAGGAAUAUCGUAGAUUGCUCACGGAGCAGUUUUCAAUUUAUUUUCCAUGUAUGAAGAUUGUACUUCCAGUCAAGAUAACGGAGAGGAGUACCAGUAUUAAAAGAGGCCCAACUAUUGUUGUUAAAAUUUAA